RNAcentral lists this ribosomal RNA (451 nucleotides) under uncultured bacterium. RNAcentral describes it as "partial 16S ribosomal RNA". It matches the Rfam family "Bacterial small subunit ribosomal RNA", at positions 354 to 796 of the family's 1533-position model. The record is from RNAcentral.
GUGGGGAAUAUUGGACAAUGGGGGGAACCCUGAUCCAGCCAUGCCGCGUGUGUGAAGAAGGCCUUUUGGUUGUAAAGCACUUUAAGCGAGGAGGAGGCUACCGAGAUUGAUACUCUUGGAUAGUGGACGUUACUCGCAGAAUAAGCACCGGCUAACUCUGUGCCAGCAGCCGCGGUAAUACAGAGGGUGCAAGCGUUAAUCGGAUUUACUGGGCGUAAAGCGCGCGUAGGUGGCCAAUUAAGUCAAAUGUGAAAUCCCCGAGCUUAACUUGGGAAUUGCAUUCGAUACUGGUUGGCUAGAGUAUGGGAGAGGAUGGUAGAAUUCCAGGUGUAGCGGUGAAAUGCGUAGAGAUCUGGAGGAAUACCGAUGGCGAAGGCAGCCAUCUGGCCUAAUACUGACACUGAGGUGCGAAAGCAUGGGGAGCAAACAGGAUUAGAAACCCCUGUAGUCC